UAGGGACCAAGCGUUGUUCGGAUUUACUGGGCGUAAAGGGCGCGUAGGCGGCAAUUCAAGUCAUCUGUGAAAUCUCCGGGCUUAACUCGGAACGGUCAGAUGAUACUGCUUUGCUAGAGUGCGGAAGGGGCAAUCGGAAUUCUUGGUGUAGCGGUGAAAUGCGUAGAUAUCAAGAGGAGCACCUGAGGUGAAGACGGGUUGCUGGGCCGACACUGACGCUGACAGCGCGAAAGCCAGGGGAGCAAACGGG
This 250-nucleotide ribosomal RNA is filed under the name uncultured bacterium. RNAcentral's name for it is "partial 16S ribosomal RNA". It matches the Rfam family "Bacterial small subunit ribosomal RNA", at positions 528 to 776 of the family's 1533-position model. The record is from RNAcentral.